UACCCUCCCAACCCGGGCUCCCGGACCCUGAAGGCAGAGAAGGUCCACCUCUGCUGCAGAUGUUUCAACGCUGCAACUAGCAUCUCCGUCCCAGAGGCUAGUGCAGAUAAGAAGGCAAAAAAACCGCACUCGUGAUGAAAUGUUCUCUGAGCUCAUGCAGUCUACUCAAACUGAAAGAGCCCAGCAGAAUGCGUGGAGGCAGA
Long non-coding RNA from Dermochelys coriacea (leatherback sea turtle), 203 nucleotides. RefSeq lists it as uncharacterized. Lineage: Eukaryota; Metazoa; Chordata; Testudines; Dermochelyidae. The transcript has 2 exons. The record is from RefSeq and is a predicted model, not a curated record.